CCCGCCGCGCGCGGCGGGCGGGGCGGGGGCACGGGGGGAACGCGAAGAACCUUACCUACUCUUGACAUCCAGAGAAUUUAGCAGAGAUGCUUUAGUGCCUUCGGGAACUCUGAGACAGGUGCUGCAUGGCUGUCGUCAGCUCGUGUUGUGAAAUGUUGGGUUAAGUCCCGCAACGAGCGCAACCCUUAUCCUUUGUUGCCAGCGAUUCGGUCGGGAACUCAAAGGAGACUGCCGGUGAUAAACCGGAGGAAGGUGGGGAUGACGUCAAGUCAUCAUGGCCCUUACGAGUAGGGCUACACACGUGCUACAAUGGCGUAUACAAAGAGAAGCGACCUCGCGAGAGCAAGCGGAACUCAUAAAGUACGUCGUAGUCCGGAUUGGAGUCUGCAACUCGACUCCAUGAAGUCGGAAUCGCUAGUAAUCGUAGAUCAAAAUGCUACGGUGAAUACGUUCCCGGGUCUUGUACACACCG
This 472-nucleotide ribosomal RNA is filed under the name Providencia sp. BF-7. Its description in RNAcentral is "bacterial SSU rRNA". It matches the Rfam family "Bacterial small subunit ribosomal RNA", at positions 920 to 1392 of the family's 1533-position model. Lineage: Bacteria; Pseudomonadati; Pseudomonadota; Gammaproteobacteria; Enterobacterales; Morganellaceae. The record is from RNAcentral.